Molecule: ribosomal RNA, 362 nt
Filed under: uncultured bacterium
Lineage: Bacteria
Description: bacterial SSU rRNA
Rfam family: Bacterial small subunit ribosomal RNA
Source: RNAcentral
GAUGAACGCUGGCGGUCUGCUUAACACAUGCAAGUCGAACGAACUCUUCGGAGUGAGUGGCGGACGGGUGAGUAACGCGUGAGAAUCUGCCUGUGGGUCGGGGACAACCACUGGAAACGGUGGCUAAUACCGGAUGAGCCGAAAGGUAAAAGAUUUAUUGCCCACAGAUGAGCUCGCGUCUGAUUAGCUAGUUGGUAAGGUAAAAGCGUACCAAGGCGACGAUUAGUAGCUGGUCUGAGAGGAUGAGCAGCCACACUGGGACUGAGACACGGCCCAGACUCCUACGGGAGGCAGCAGUGGGAAUAUUGGACAAUGGGGGCAACCCUGAUCCAGCAUGCCGCGUGGUGAGAGGCCAGGGUUGU